CCAAAUUAGACCCUGCGGCUCGUGACGACACAUUGAUGUCCUAAGACACGAAACGAUCGGUUUGUGCGAGAAACCGAUCAGUAUUUAUAUAAUUUUUUUACCUCUAAUACACCACUAUGUGUAGACCCAGAAGACCCCGCCCCCCUGCCGUCUUUGGAGCCCAUCGAUGCCAGAGCUGGGAUGGACGCCAAUCUUUUCCGUGAGCCCUUCCCGAGACGUCAGGGACUCCGGCCUAGGAUUACGCUGGACCCGACGCCUCCAAGUCUUCCUGAUCCGUCAGGAAGGAAGAGGACAGGGCAAUGUCUCGCUGCGGCCGGACCAACCCCAAAGCUGCCUCGUUUAAGUCUCCCGCCACCCCGUUCACUUCCGGGUGUUGGAGAAAAGAUGUUUGUUAUGCGUGCUUUGCCCGUGUCUGUUGCGCCCACACCAACCGCCGUUCUCAUGGCGAGUAAAAUAAAAAACAAACAUUUUCAAAAAGAGCAAAUUUCCUCUUCCACCCACCACGGUUCACAGGCCCCAAUUCAGCGGCCUGUCAUCUGCCCUAAUCCAACCCCUUGCCACACAGGCCGAGGCCUGGCAGGCCAUCCCUGGAGUGUCAAGCUGGGUUUUGGGGAUAAUAAAUCAUGGCUACUUACUGCAGUUCGCCCAGACCCCCACUUUGGUGAAAACAGAUGACACGCACGUCCUACGUACCGAAGUGAUGGCUCUGAUGGAAAAGGGAGCCAUAGAAGUGGUCCCUCCAUCCAAGAGAAAGUCGGGUUUUUACAGCCGGUAUUUCCUCGUCCCCAAGAGAGGUGGCAGGUCUCAGGCUCAUCCUCGACCUCAGACUUCUGAACCGCUCCCUCAUGAGAUGAAAGUUCAGAAUGUUAACGUUGAGACAGAUCCUUGCGCAGAUUUGCCCCAGGGACUGGUUCUUCUCGCUGGAUCUGAAAGAUGCAUACUUUCACAUCCAGAUAGCCCCCCCAUCACAGACGAUUCUUGAGAUUCGCAUUCGAGGGAGUGGCAUACCAAUAUAUGGUCCUUCCCUUCGGGUUGUACCUAGCUCCGCGCACUUUUACAAAGUGUAUGGACACGGCUCUUUCCCCUCUGAGGCAGAUGGGAAUCUGCGUUCUGAAUUACCUCGACGACUGGCUCAUAUUGGCCCAGUCUCAGGACGAGCUAGCAUACCACAGAUCUGUGCUCCUCAGCCACUUGGAGUGCCUAGGGCUCAUGGUCAAUUUUGCCAAGAGCUCACUGCUCCCCAGCCAACGUAUUUUGUUCCUGGGGGCCGUUUUUGCCCAAAUGAGGGCGACAGUCUCGCCAGAGCGCACUCUGGCCAUUCAGCAGCUCGUGGUUUCUGUUCUACAGUUCUACAGGACCUUUGAGCAGUUCUACAGCUUGGCCUCCUACGAAUGCUCCUCAUGCUUGGCGGCACGGCCGCUUCUAUAUCAGGGUGAAUCAGGCCUGUUUAACAGCCCUGAACCCCUGGAAAAACCCUCAGUGGUUCAGCCGUGGGGUCCCCCUAAGGGCGGUAUCCAGAAGGAUGGUGGUCUCGAUGGACGCGUCCAACACGGGUUGGGGCACUCUGUGCGAGGGCAGACCAGCCUUCGGUUCUUGGUCGAGCGAGGAGAGCCGGCUACACAUCAACUGCUUAGAGAUGCUAGCAGUUUGUCUGGCCCUCCAGGCUUUCCUGAAGGGACACCGUGUCUUAGUCCGGUCGGACAGCAUGACAGUGGUGUCCUACAUAAAUCACCAAGGCGGGCUUUCGUCCGAACGCCUCUACGCAUUGACAAAGUGGCUCUUGGUGUGGGUACUGCCCAACCUGCGGUCGCUAAGGGCAUCGCAUGUUCCGGGCAAAUUGAACCAGGGAGCAGACAUGCUGUCUCGGAGCAAUGUCCCCUCAGACGAGUGGAUGCUCCACCCCCAGACGGUUAUCAAAAUUUGGGAGAUCUUCAGGAAGGCAGAGGUCAACCUCUUUACCUCAGAAGACAACUCUCACUACCCAAUCUUCUUUUCAAGGGACAAGGAUGCGCUGGCUCACAACUAGCCCAGCUUCCUAUUCUCGCCCUUGUACCGUCCCCGCAUGGGACCUCUCCAUGGUCCUCAGAACGCUCAAAGGUCCGCCCUUUGAACCGGUGCAGUCAGCUGACCUUCGGCCCCUCUCGCUUAAGACCGCUCUGCUACUGGCUCUAGCAUCGGUAAAGCGUGUAGGCGAUCUGCAGGCCCCCUCCGUGAGCCCUGCGUGCCUCAAAUUUGGGCUUAAUAACUCGAAGGUUGUCCUGAAACCCAGGCAUGGCUACGUACCUAAAAUGCUCUCGACUCAGAUUAUCACUCACACAGCGCUGCCUCAGCAUGAGUUGGGUUUACUCUGCCCCGUUAGGGCAUUGAGGAUGUACGUAGAGUGUUCCGCGCCUUUCUGGCAGUCGGACUAGCUCUUUGUAUGCUUUGGUGGCCGCACCAAGGGGCUUCCGGUCAUGAAGCAGAGACUCUUGCGUUGGAUUGUCGACGCUAUCGCUCUUUGUUACUCUUCUAUAGGCCUAAAAUGCCCCAUAGGAGUACGAGCCCACUCCACUAGAGGAAUGGCCUCUUCGUGGGCAUGGUCUAGUGGCCGUCCACGUUUGUCAGGUUUUACAACUUGGACGUUCCGGCGUUACACGCCCGGGUCCUCUCGGCAUGACUGGACGGGCUCUUCUUAGCCCGUCAACCGUGCUGUAGUUAUGUGUAACUGUGAGGGUGCGAUGGCUUUGCCUCCCUACUUAUCCCCCAGGCCCCUUAGCGCCUGAGAUAGGUUCAGUCGUUCCCUCCCAUGGCACGGCGUGAUUGUAUUCGUUCCCCAUCCGCAGCAUGAGUGAUGUAUCGAACUGCGUUUAUUGCCGUGCCAUGGAGCUGCACAACUCAGUGUCAUCACUUCAGUCGAUUGACCUGGUUUCCUAUGGCGAAAUGCUCGCUUAUAUAGCCAGACGCUCCGCCCAUUUCAGCGGGCUCUGGCGCGCUGCAUAGCCAUAGGCCAUAGGCCGUCAUUUGUUCAAAAAGUUACACUGCCCGAACCAAUGGCCGUGCAGUUACACUGCAUUAUUGAAAAAGGCUUCAGUGAAUCGGAGAAAAGGAGUUUUUCCCCAUCUGCAGUACUCGUUCCCGUAUCUCAGAGAACCAAGAUUACGUUCGUAACCGAGUAUGAUAUAUAGCCACCACAGACAUUUAGAGUAGGGUGACCAGACGUCCCUGUUUUCCUGGGACAGUCCCGGUUUUUGGUGCUCCAUCCCUGACUGGAGCUGUCCCCGGAAAUGUCCCCGUUUUACAGCUCGUUCAAAAGAACCCACAAAUACAUUGCAAAAACCAGCAUACAUCAGCCUGUUGGUUAUCGGAGCAAUCGUGUAGUGAUUAUAUUCACCAACAGAGGGGGCUGUGCAGCUACACUGCUACACACCUGAUCGCGCACGCGCUACUUAAUGAAGAACGUAACCUGGACCAGAGCAGAGCGCCACUAUCAUCAAUUAUCAAAAGAAACAUUGUUAUCGGUUUCAACUUUCAAGGUGCUUCAGAAUACCAUGGUAUUUUCUGUGGAGUGUUGACACAAGAUGGCAGUAGCGGUCUAACAAUGAAGUUGUCAUCUGAACUGAACAGCACCGAAGAAGAGGACCACUCAGUCACAGGUCACCGGUAUCCUGAGAAAAUCAUCAUGGCCAAGAAGAGAGGCGGAAACCGUGAGACAGAGAGCAGUCCUCUGGUUGAGCAGGAACCGAGGCCCUCCAACGAAACUCCAGUCCACAAAGGAGCCCAGUCACCAGGAGGAGCCUCUGCACGCAUGUCAAUCCUCCUCCUCGUCGCUAUCUUUGCCUGUUCUGCUUGCGUCAUGUAUCUAGUGUUCAGAAAUUUCCCAGAGCUGAGCGAAGACGAGAGGGAAA
Molecule: RNA transcript, 3884 nt
Organism: Ctenopharyngodon idella (grass carp)
Lineage: Eukaryota; Metazoa; Chordata; Actinopteri; Cypriniformes; Xenocyprididae
Gene: tmem41b
Gene name: transmembrane protein 41B
Exons: 5
Source: RefSeq, a predicted model, not a curated record